RNAcentral lists this transfer RNA (93 nucleotides) under Streptomyces hygroscopicus subsp. hygroscopicus. RNAcentral's name for it is "tRNA-Arg". Lineage: Bacteria; Bacillati; Actinomycetota; Actinomycetes; Kitasatosporales; Streptomycetaceae. The record is from RNAcentral.
CUUCGUCAUGGCCGUGGGCGGGCAGGGCGCCGCGGUCGCCCUGCCCGCCGGGGCCCCGGCGGCCGGCCAGGAGUUCGCCUCCUCGUUCGAAGC